UUUGGCAAAACUACAAAUCACCAGUUCUCUGGCUCCCAAUCAGCACCUAGGCCCAGUACCAUGAGAAGUUAUUUAGAAAACUCUGCUCACAUAUACAAAGUGUCCUUCUAACUCCAAAGGGUCAGCCAUGUUACCAGGUUAGUAUAGGUUUGGAUCUUACCCAAAAUACCAUGCU
Long non-coding RNA from Dermochelys coriacea (leatherback sea turtle), 175 nucleotides. RefSeq lists it as uncharacterized. The record is from RefSeq and is a predicted model, not a curated record. The transcript has 4 exons. NCBI's taxonomy places the organism in Eukaryota, Metazoa, Chordata, Testudines, Dermochelyidae.